UACAGAGGUCUCAAGCGUUGUUCGGAUUCAUUGGGCGUAAAGGGUGCGUAGGUGGCGGGGUAAGUCAGGUGUGAAAUCUCGAGGCUCAACCUCGAAACUGCACUUGAUACUGCCUUGCUCGAGUACUGGAGAGGAGAUUGGAAUUUACGGUGUAGCAGUGAAAUGCGUAGAUAUCGUAAGGAAGACCAGUGGCGAAGGCGAAUCUCUGGGCAAUUCCUGACACUGAGGCACGAAGGCCAGGGGAGCAAACGGG
This 253-nucleotide ribosomal RNA is filed under the name uncultured bacterium. RNAcentral describes it as "partial 16S ribosomal RNA". It matches the Rfam family "Bacterial small subunit ribosomal RNA", at positions 524 to 776 of the family's 1533-position model. The record is from RNAcentral.